AUUGAACGCUGGCGGCGUGCUUUACACAUGCAAGUCGAACGGCAGCGCGGGCUUCGGCCUGGCGGCGAGUGGCGAACGGGUGAGUAAUACAUCGGAACGUGCCCAGUAGUGGGGGAUAGCUCGGCGAAAGCCGGAUUAAUACCGCAUACGACCUGAGGGUGAAAGCGGGGGAUCUUCGGACCUCGCGCUAUUGGAGCGGCCGAUGGCAGAUUAGCUAGUUGGUGGGGUAAAGGCCUACCAAGGCGACGAUCUGUAGCUGGUCUGAGAGGACGACCAGCCACACUGGGAUUGAGACACGGCCCAGACUCCUACGGGAGGCAGCAGUGGGGAAUUUUGGACAAUGGGCGAAAGCCUGAUCCAGCAAUGCCGCGUGUGUGAUGAAGGCCUUCGGGUUGUAAAGCACUUUUGGCGGGAACGAAAAGGACUGUGCCAAUACCACGGUUCGAUGACGGUACCCGCAGAAUAAGCACCGGCUAACUACGU
RNAcentral lists this ribosomal RNA (483 nucleotides) under uncultured bacterium. RNAcentral's name for it is "partial 16S ribosomal RNA". It matches the Rfam family "Bacterial small subunit ribosomal RNA", at positions 29 to 506 of the family's 1533-position model. The record is from RNAcentral.